GGGCCUACGGGAGGCAGCAGCAAGGAAUAUUGUCCAAUGGGGGAAACCCUGAGACAGCAACGCCGCGUGAAGGAAGAGGGCCUUCGGGUUGUAAACUCCUGUUUUAAGAGAAGAAACAAAUGACGGUACCUUAAGAGGAAGCCCCGGCAAACUACGUG
RNAcentral lists this ribosomal RNA (158 nucleotides) under uncultured bacterium. Its description in RNAcentral is "partial 16S ribosomal RNA". It matches the Rfam family "Bacterial small subunit ribosomal RNA", at positions 335 to 507 of the family's 1533-position model. The record is from RNAcentral.